Molecule: ribosomal RNA, 253 nt
Filed under: uncultured bacterium
Lineage: Bacteria
Description: partial 16S ribosomal RNA
Rfam family: Bacterial small subunit ribosomal RNA
Source: RNAcentral
GACAGAGGGUGCAAACGUUGUUCGGAAUUACUGGGCGUAAAGGGCGCGUAGGCGGCCUGCUAAGUCAGACGUGAAAUCCCUCGGCUUAACCGGGGAACUGCAUCUGAUACUGGAUGGCUUGAGAUUGGGAGAGGGAUGCGGAAUUCCAGGUGUAGCGGUGAAAUGCGUAGAUAUCUGGAGGAACACCGGUGGCGAAGGCGGCAUCCUGGACCAACACUGACGCUGAGGCACGAAAGCUAGGGGAGCAAACAGG